GGCCAAAAUGAUGAAAUUGCUAAAGACACAGCUUCAGUCAGCGACAGUGUUCCAGUGAGGCCAGAAACAUCAGCUCAGAGUGCAGUAGAACCAGCAGUGAUUGCGAAUGAGGAGUUGGAUCACGAGGAAACAUACAGGGAAUGGAAGCUUAUUAAAGAACCCACUCAAGCUGCCAAAGUUUUCAAAGAGACUCUGUUGUGGGAGCAUGCAUCUGGGAAACCCGCUGAAGAGGACAGGGAACGGGAACUCCUCUCGUUCUAUAAACAGCAGCAAGAAUGGGCAUGUCCACUUCAUUGUACUCUUGCUGGUGAUGUUGCUGUCGGAGAGGGAGUGAAGCGGUACUUUCUGACGACAAUAAUUUCCAACCUCCAAUUUGGAUUCAGACUAGAUCUUGGAGGAAUGGGCCGAACUGCUAUUUGAGGGUGAACCUGACCAUCUUGUUCCAG
This is a long non-coding RNA of Melanotaenia boesemani (Boeseman's rainbowfish), 446 nucleotides long. RefSeq lists it as uncharacterized. The transcript has 4 exons. The record is from RefSeq and is a predicted model, not a curated record. Lineage: Eukaryota; Metazoa; Chordata; Actinopteri; Atheriniformes; Melanotaeniidae.